This 241-nucleotide long non-coding RNA is filed under the name Ananas comosus (pineapple). RNAcentral's name for it is "long non-coding RNA (ACOM_LNC020967)". Lineage: Eukaryota; Viridiplantae; Streptophyta; Magnoliopsida; Poales; Bromeliaceae. The record is from RNAcentral.
UACGCUAUUGGAACUAUCUACAAACCAAAUUUCAUAAUUUUUUGACUUCGUUUGUCUAGUGAACGAGUAGCCUCAAAAUGGACGGCUGAAAAUAAAAAUCUCAUAAAAAACAAUGAUAAAGGACUCAAAUUUCAAAUCGGAAGUGUUAAUCUUGCUAUUGACGUUAAGUAGAAUUUUUUAUUAAAUUUUCAUGUAAUUUGGAUACUUCUACACCGUUGAACUUAAAACCGUGCCGCAUCGG